RNAcentral lists this ribosomal RNA (311 nucleotides) under uncultured eukaryote. Its description in RNAcentral is "partial 18S ribosomal RNA". It matches the Rfam family "Eukaryotic small subunit ribosomal RNA", at positions 1470 to 1796 of the family's 1831-position model. The record is from RNAcentral.
CCCCUAGACGUUCUGGGCUGCACGCGCGCUACAAUAAUACGCACAGCGAGUAUCACCGAGCUCGAAAGGGCAAGGUAAACAAUAGAAAAGGUACUGUAAUGGUUAUAGAUCCUUGUAAUUAUUGAUCUUCAACGAGGAAUUCCUAGUAAGUAUGUGUCAUCAUCACGCACUGAUUACGUCCCUGCCCUUUGUAUACACCGCCCGUCGCUCCUACCGAUUGGGUGAGCCGAUGAAACUCUCGGAUGUAGGCUAUUCAUAGCCCGCAGAAGAGAUUUGAAUCGUAGCGCUUAGAGGAAGGAGAAGUCGUAACA